CCUGGUGGCUCAGAUGGUAAAGCGUCUGCCUGCAAGGCGGAAGACCUGGGUUCAAUCCCUGGGUCAGGA
This is a transfer RNA of Ovis aries (sheep), 69 nucleotides long. It matches the Rfam family "tRNA". From Rfam's summary of the family: Transfer RNA (tRNA) molecules are approximately 80 nucleotides in length. Their secondary structure includes four short double-helical elements and three loops (D, anti-codon, and T loops). Lineage: Eukaryota; Metazoa; Chordata; Mammalia; Artiodactyla; Bovidae. The record is from Rfam.